GAUGAACGCUGGCGGCGUGCCUAAUACAUGCAAGUCGAGCGAAUGGAUUAAGAGCUUGCUCUUAUGAAGUUAGCGGCGGACGGGUGAGUAACACGUGGGUAACCUGCCCAUAAGACUGGGAUAACUCCGGGAAACCGGGGCUAAUACCGGAUACCAUUUUGAACCGCAUGGUUCGAAAUUGAAAGGCGGCUUCGGCUGUCACUUAUGGAUGGACCCGCGUCGCAUUGGCUAGUUGGUGAGGUAACGGCUCACCAAGGCAACGAUGCGUAGCGGACCUGAGAGGGUGGUCGGCCACACUGGGACUGAGGCACGGCACAGACUCCUACGGGAGGCAGCAGUAGGGAAUCUUCCGCAAUGGACGAAAGUCUGACGGAGCAACGCCGCGUGAGUGAUGAAGGCUUUCGGGUCGUAAAACUCUGUUGUUAGGGAAGAACAAGUGCUAGUUGAAUAAGCUGGCACCUUGACGGUACCUAACCAGAAAGCCACGGCUAACUACGUGCCAGCCGCCGCAGUAA
This 515-nucleotide ribosomal RNA is filed under the name uncultured bacterium. Its description in RNAcentral is "partial 16S ribosomal RNA". It matches the Rfam family "Bacterial small subunit ribosomal RNA", at positions 28 to 523 of the family's 1533-position model. The record is from RNAcentral.